AGAGUUUGUAUCCUCGGCUCAGGAGUGAACGCUGGCGGCGUGCUUAACUACAUGCAAGUCGAACGGAACUCAUAUUGUAAACCUAAGUGAUUUAUUGAGUUAGUGGCGGACGGGUGGAGUAACGACGUGGAAAACCGUAGCCGUAUACUGGGGAGGUAACAACUUAGUAAAUAAGGUGGCUAAUAACCGCAUAAGACGCACAGCUUCGUCAUGAAGUGGUGUGAAAACUACCUGGUGGUAUACGAUGGUUCCGCGUCUGAUUAGCUUGUUGGUGGGGUAAUGGCUCCCCAAGGCGACGAUCAGUAGCCGGCCUGAGGGGGUGAACGGCCACAUUGGGACUGAGACACGGCCCAAACUCCUACGGGAGGCAGCAGUGGGGAAUAUUGCACAAUGGGGGAAACCCUGAUGCAGCGACGCCGCGUGAGUGAAGAAGUAUUUCGGUAUGUAAAGCUCUAUCAGCAGGGAAGAAAAUGGCGGUACCUGAUUAAGAAGCCCCGGCUAACUACGUG
RNAcentral lists this ribosomal RNA (509 nucleotides) under uncultured Lachnospiraceae bacterium. Its description in RNAcentral is "bacterial SSU rRNA". It matches the Rfam family "Bacterial small subunit ribosomal RNA", at positions 8 to 507 of the family's 1533-position model. The record is from RNAcentral. Lineage: Bacteria; Bacillati; Bacillota; Clostridia; Lachnospirales; Lachnospiraceae.